Molecule: ribosomal RNA, 484 nt
Filed under: uncultured bacterium
Lineage: Bacteria
Description: partial 16S ribosomal RNA
Rfam family: Bacterial small subunit ribosomal RNA
Source: RNAcentral
AUUGAACGCUGGCGGCAGGCCUAACACAUGCAAGUCGAGCGGAUGAAGGGAGCUUGCUCCUGGAUUCAGCGGCGGACGGGUGAGUAAUGCCUAGGAUUCUGCCUGGUAGUGGGGGAUAACGUCCGGAAACGGGCGCUAAUUCCGCAUACGUCCUGAGGGAGAAAGUGGGGGAUCUUCGGACCUCACGCUAUCAGAUGAGCCUAGGUCGGAUUAGCUAGUUGGUGGGGUAAAGGCCUACCAAGGCGACGAUCCGUAACUGGUCUGAGAGGAUGAUCAGUCACACUGGAACUGAGACACGGUCCAGACUCCUACGGGAGGCAGCAGUGGGGAAUAUUGGACAAUGGGCGAAAGCCUGAUCCAGCCAUGCCGCGUGUGUGAAGAAGGUCUUCGGAUUGUAAAGCACUUUAAGUUGGGAGGAAGGGCAGUAAGUUAAUACCUUGCUGUUUUGACGUUACCAACAGAAUAAGCACCGGCUAACUUCGUG